Molecule: long non-coding RNA, 1618 nt
Organism: Brachypodium distachyon (stiff brome)
Lineage: Eukaryota; Viridiplantae; Streptophyta; Magnoliopsida; Poales; Poaceae
Exons: 2
Source: RefSeq, a predicted model, not a curated record
UUCACACACGUGCUUGAUGUUUUGCCAAUACAGAAUGCUUAAGUUUCUAUCUAGGUCCACGAAAACCGAGCGGAAAACCCCCAAACGCAACGCUGCGACAAGGGAGAAAACCUAGCACGUGCCUUAGCCGCCACAGUUAGUUUUAGCUUCUCGUAUCUCUCAUUCUCUCCGGUCUUCCUGUCUCCCAUGUUUUCCUCCACAUCGUAAGGAUGAUGAGGUCAGAUUAUCCUCGGUUACGUUGACAAGACAGUGGCGCUACACAUUUUUAGGCUUUUGUUCCUCAGGAUCGAACCUCAUCUCGACAGCGCUCCCUCCGACAUCGAGACGAAUUUUAAAGGGGUCUUAUGCAACGGAAUUGCUAGUCCUCAGUCGCCUGAAAAUUGAUAUUUCACUACAACAAAACAGACGUGUAGGGACGUUUUAAUUUUGACGCUUUUAUUUUCGUCUAUACGUGGAUAAUCAUACGGUGUGUAGGGACGUUGCUUGAGACGCAUACAAAAUCGUCGCACGUCCACCCCUGCUGCAGCCACCCUUUGCCUUUAUCUCCAAUUUCUUUAAUAAGAAAUCUCAUCUCUAAUUGCUCGACCAUCUCUCUCCCUGGGAAAAACCUAGCGCCGCCAUCUACCGCUGGCUCCGUCCUCCCUUCCAUCCAUGAUCCACCGGCGGAGCUCCUCGCUCUCCCGGGCCGCGGCCUACGGCUAUGAUCCCGUCGCCUGCUGCCUGCCUCUUUUCCCCGGCGUGGAUGGCUUCUCUCUGCGAGAUCCAACUUCCUGAAGGCCGUCUUCAACAGCGAACUUGUGUGUUGCCUAGCGGAAGAGUGAAGAAGAUCCUAGUAGUCGUAGACCUCUCUCCACACCCCCAUACAAUCUUCCGUAGUACCUGGACUAAUUUGUGUGUGGAAAGUAAUCUGACUUUUUUUGUUUCUGUUCUUUCGGUGCCCGCUUGUAAUUAGUAAGAAGUACUACUUCUAUGUAGUUUUCUGAACUCCCAUCUCUCUAUCGACCACUAUGGACUCAAUUUUGCAUUGAUCUUACAGAUUACUUUCUCUGUUAUUUCUUCUAAAUUAUCAAUCCUCACAUCUGCAAGGUGCUUGAUAAUAUGCCUCUGUGAUAUUACCCUCCUGAAGCAAGAUGGCAAAUGUUCUUGAUUAAUAUUUCCUCUUGUAUUUUCCAUGAACUGAACAAUUGUAUGAAGGUGCGUUUUUUUCAUGCAAUUAAAAUUAUUAUGCUCACGUGUUCUGAUAGGAAUCUGAAUUAAACUAGCAGAUGCAUUAUCUCACCAAAUGAAACUUUGCUCUUGUCGCCUGAUAGACAGCACCAUAUGUCAAUAGUUAUUUACUGGAUUUUUUAUAUACCCAGUGAGUUAAUUUAUUAGUCAUUUGUCAUCCUUUGCAGAAUUUUUCUGGGCGAGGAUUUUGUCUAAGAAGCACAAUCAAGGCUACAGGAAAUUCAGAGAAGCGGAGAAGACAGGGGAGCUGAUGUACAGUUAUCUGCAUGUAGAAACUACGAAGUUUCAACUAAUUAGAAUUUUUUUCUAGUGUGCAUACAUGUUGUACCACUCAGCUGUAAAUAUACUAUCAUCACUAUUGGUAAUAUAAUGUAUAAUGUUAUAGCCCCUU